This 646-nucleotide long non-coding RNA is filed under the name Equus asinus (donkey). Its description in RNAcentral is "lncRNA (ENSEASG00005027196.1, ENSEASG00020034711.1)". The record is from RNAcentral. Lineage: Eukaryota; Metazoa; Chordata; Mammalia; Perissodactyla; Equidae.
AGUAUGAUGCUGACACAGCCAGGAAAGGUUGACAUCUCUGUCAGCCCACUACCUGACCCUCUUCCCGGGAGCCUGCAGGCUCAGCGGCACUCCGGAAGUCCCGCUGCGCCGCAGGUGUCCGCGCGGGUCUCCUCGCGCAGCGACCCCCGCAGCUGCGCUCUUGGCCACAACAGCAGCUUUGGAAACGCGCGAGGAGGGAAGAGCAGCACCACCGAGGAGGCAGCGCCCGCCCGGAUACCGCGGCUGCGAGGCCCCGAACCAAGGCUGCCACCUGCGGCAUCGUGCCCCUCUGGGCCUACACUGUGUUUCUGGCAUUGUUAUGAAUAUCUUAAGUGCCUGCUUUGCUGCACUUGGUGCAGUUGCCUUAAUCAUUGCGUGUGCAAGUUUUCAGUCAGAAGAAGAUUACACUUGGACACAGAACUGAUCAUUGCAAGUAUAACUAUCCACUGGAUUGUGCAAGCAUUGCAGUAUCAAGAAUACGGCGACGAGAGUUCCUCACUAUCAGAAUUCUCCAUCUCUUCAUAAUUUGCAAAGAACCGGUGUGACUCUAGUCAAGAGCAAAAGAUGAAUCGUGAAUUAGUGAAGAACUCCGUAAUUUUUUUCAAGAGGCCUGAUGGAGAAUGCAUUUUAAUGAAGUCCUUUCUAG